GAAUGAACGCUGGCGGCGCGCCUAAUACAUGCAAGUCGAGCGAGAAGACGUAGCAAUACGUUUGUAAAGCGGCGAACGGGUGAGGAAUACAUGGGUAACCUACCCUCGAGUGGGGAAUAACUAGACCGAAAGGUUAGCUAAUACCGCGUACGCUUCUUGGACUUCGGUUCAGGGAGGAAAGCGAUACCGUGGGUAUCGCGCUCUUGGAUGGGCUCAUGUCCUAUCAGCUUGUUGGUGAGGUAACGGCUCACCAAGGCUUCGACGGGUAGCUGGUCUGAGAGGACGAUCAGCCACACUGGCACUGCGACAC
Molecule: ribosomal RNA, 310 nt
Filed under: uncultured bacterium
Lineage: Bacteria
Description: bacterial SSU rRNA
Rfam family: Bacterial small subunit ribosomal RNA
Source: RNAcentral